UUAAGCGACUAAGCGUACACGGUGGAUGCCCUGGCAGUCAGAGGCGAUGAAGGACGUGCUAAUCUGCGAAAAGCGUCGGUAAGGUGAUAUGAACCGUUAUAACCGGCGAUGUCCGAAUGGGGAAACCCAGUGCAAUUCGUUGCACUAUCGUUAACUGAAUACAUAGGUUAACGAGGCGAACCGGGGGAACUGAAACAUCUAAGUACCCCGAGGAAAAGAAAUCAACCGAGAUUCCCCCAGUAGCGGCGAGCGAACGGGGAGCAGCCCAGAGUCUGAAUCAGCUUGUGUGUUAGUGGAACGGUCUGGAAAGUCCGACGGUACAGGGUGAUAGUCCCGUACACCAAAAUGCACAGGCUGUGAACUCGAAGAGUAGGGCGGGACACGUGGUAUCCUGUCUGAAUAUGGGGGGACCAUCCUCCAAGGCUAAAUACUCCUGACUGACCGAUAGUGAACCAGUACCGUGAGGGAAAGGCGAAAAGAACCCCGGCGAGGGGAGUGAAAAAGAACCUGAAACCGUGUACGUACAAGCAGUGGGAGCACCUUCGGGUGUGACUGCGUACCUUUUGUAUAAUGGGUCAGCGACUUAUAUUCUGUAGCAAGGUUAACCGUAUAGGGGAGCCGCAGGGAAACCGAGUCUUAACUGGGCGUUAAGUUGCAGGGUAUAGACCCGAAACCCGGUGAUCUAGCCAUGGGCAGGUUGAAGGUUGGGUAACACUAACUGGAGGACCGAACCGACUAAUGUUGAAAAAUUAGCGGAUGACUUGUGGCUGGGGGUGAAAGGCCAAUCAAACCGGGAGAUAGCUGGUUCUCCCCGAAAGCUAUUUAGGUAGCGCCUCGUGAAUUCAUCUUCGGGGGUAGAGCACUGUUUCGGCUAGGGGGUCAUCCCGACUUACCAACCCGAUGCAAACUACGAAUACCGAAGAAUGUUAUCACGGGAGACACACGGCGGGUGCUAACGUCCGUCGUGAAGAGGGAAACAACCCAGACCGCCAGCUAAGGUCCCAAAGUCAUGGUUAAGUGGGAAACGAUGUGGGAAGGCACAGACAGCCAGGAUGUUGGCUUAGAAGCAGCCAUCAUUUAAAGAAAGCGUAAUAGCUCACUGGUCGAGUCGGCCUGCGCGGAAGAUGUAACGGGGCUAAACCAUGCACCGAAGCUGCGGCAGCGACACUAUGUGUUGUUGGGUAGGGGAGCGUUCUGUAAGCCUGCGAAGGUGACCUGUGAGGGUUGCUGGAGGUAUCAGAAGUGCGAAUGCUGACAUAAGUAACGAUAAAGCGGGUGAAAAGCCCGCUCGCCGGAAGACCAAGGGUUCCUGUCCAACGUUAAUCGGGGCAGGGUGAGUCGACCCCUAAGGCGAGGCCGAAAGGCGUAGUCGAUGGGAAACAGGUUAAUAUUCCUGUACUUGGUGUUACUGCGAAGGGGGGACGGAGAAGGCUAUGUUAGCCGGGCGACGGUUGUCCCGGUUUAAGCAUGUAGGCUGGUUAUCCAGGCAAAUCCGGAUAAUCAAGGCUGAGGUGUGAUGACGAGGCACUACGGUGCUGAAGUAACAAAUGCCCUGCUUCCAGGAAAAGUCUCUAAGCAUCAGGUAACAUCAAAUCGUACCCCAAACCGACACAGGUGGUCAGGUAGAGAAUACCAAGGCGCUUGAGAGAACUCGGGUGAAGGAACUAGGCAAAAUGGUGCCGUAACUUCGGGAGAAGGCACGCUGGUGUGUAGGUGAAGCCCCUGCGGGUGGAGCUGAGACCAGUCGAAGAUACCAGCUGGCUGCAACUGUUUAUUAAAAACACAGCACUGUGCAAACACGAAAGUGGACGUAUACGGUGUGACGCCUGCCCGGUGCCGGAAGGUUAAUUGAUGGGGUUAUCCGUAAGGAGAAGCUCUUGAUCGAAGCCCCGGUAAACGGCGGCCGUAACUAUAACGGUCCUAAGGUAGCGAAAUUCCUUGUCGGGUAAGUUCCGACCUGCACGAAUGGCGUAAUGAUGGCCAGGCUGUCUCCACCCGAGACUCAGUGAAAUUGAACUCGCUGUGAAGAUGCAGUGUACCCGCGGCAAGACGGAAAGACCCCGUGAACCUUUACUAUAGCUUGACACUGAACAUUGAGCCUUGAUGUGUAGGAUAGGUGGGAGGCUUUGAAGCGUGGACGCCAGUCUGCGUGGAGCCAACCUUGAAAUACCACCCUUUAAUGUUUGAUGUUCUAACGUUGGCCCCUGACCGGGGUUGCGGACAGUGUCUGGUGGGUAGUUUGACUGGGGCGGUCUCCUCCCAAAGCGUAACGGAGGAGCACGAAGGUUAGCUAAUCCUGGUCGGACAUCAGGAGGUUAGUGCAAUGGCAUAAGCUAGCUUGACUGCGAGCGUGACGGCGCGAGCAGGUGCGAAAGCAGGUCAUAGUGAUCCGGUGGUUCUGAAUGGAAGGGCCAUCGCUCAACGGAUAAAAGGUACUCCGGGGAUAACAGGCUGAUACCGCCCAAGAGUUCAUAUCGACGGCGGUGUUUGGCACCUCGAUGUCGGCUCAUCACAUCCUGGGGCUGAAGUAGGUCCCAAGGGUAUGGCUGUUCGCCAUUUAAAGUGGUACGCGAGCUGGGUUUAGAACGUCGUGAGACAGUUCGGUCCCUAUCUGCCGUGGGCGCUGGAGAAUUGAGGGGGGCUGCUCCUAGUACGAGAGGACCGGAGUGGACGCAUCACUGGUGUUCGGGUUGUCAUGCCAAUGGCACUGCCCGGUAGCUAAAUGCGGAAGAGAUAAGUGCUGAAAGCAUCUAAGCACGAAACUUGCCCCGAGAUGAGUUCUCCCUGAGACUUUAAGUCUCCUGAAGGAACGUUGAAGACGAUGACGUUGAUAGGCCGGGUGUGUAAGCGCAGCGAUGCGUUGAGCUAACCGGUACUAAUGAACCGUGAGGCUUAACCUU
Molecule: ribosomal RNA, 2900 nt
Filed under: Klebsiella pneumoniae
Lineage: Bacteria; Pseudomonadati; Pseudomonadota; Gammaproteobacteria; Enterobacterales; Enterobacteriaceae
Description: bacterial LSU rRNA
Rfam family: Bacterial large subunit ribosomal RNA
Source: RNAcentral